AUUGAACGCUGGCGGCAUGCUUUACACAUGCAAGUCGAACGGUAACAAGUCUUCGGAUGCUGACGAGUGGCGAACGGGUGAGUAAUGCAUCGGAACGUGCCCAGUCGUGGGGGAUAACGCAGCGAAAGCUGCGCUGAUACCGCAUACGAUCUAUGGAUGAAAGCGGGGGACCGUAAGGCCUCGCGCGAUUGGAGCGGCCGAUGUCAGAUUAGGUAGUUGGUGGGGUAAAGGCCCACCAAGCCAACGAUCUGUAGCUGGUCUGAGAGGACGACCAGCCACACUGGGACUGAGACACGGCCCAGACUCCUACGGGAGGCAGCAGUGGGGAAUUUUGGACAAUGGGCGCAAGCCUGAUCCAGCAAUGCCGCGUGCAGGAAGAAGGCCUUCGGGUUGUAAACUGCUUUUGUACGGAACGAAACGGCUCUCUCUAAUACAGAGGGCUAAUGACGGUACCGUAAGAAUAAGCACCGGCUAACUACGUGCCAGCAGCCGCAGUAC
Molecule: ribosomal RNA, 498 nt
Filed under: uncultured bacterium
Lineage: Bacteria
Description: partial 16S ribosomal RNA
Rfam family: Bacterial small subunit ribosomal RNA
Source: RNAcentral